UUCGUCUGUUUUCUGUUUCAUGGUGCUAUUUUCAGAAUGGCAUAUUGUCUUUUCGUGUGUAUGUUGUUACUUGUGGGCUGUUGUAAUAUUGUUUUAUACUUAAAGUCUCUAUUAUAUGUAAACCGUCACUUAUUUGUUAGGUUAUGCGUUGUCAAUUGUUAAUCAGGUACAUUAUUCUUCCCUGUUAAAAUGUUUGUAUACUUAUCUGUUGCCUAAAUGCAGUAUUAUUUUUUUCUGUUUACCUAUCUACAGUAAUCUGUUUGGUUUUUG
This 270-nucleotide long non-coding RNA is filed under the name Mytilus galloprovincialis (Mediterranean mussel). The record is from RNAcentral. Lineage: Eukaryota; Metazoa; Mollusca; Bivalvia; Mytilida; Mytilidae.